This 1338-nucleotide ribosomal RNA is filed under the name metagenome. RNAcentral's name for it is "bacterial SSU rRNA". It matches the Rfam family "Bacterial small subunit ribosomal RNA", at positions 138 to 1477 of the family's 1533-position model. The record is from RNAcentral.
GGGGGAUAGCCCGGCGAAAGCCGGAUUAAUACCGCAUACGACCUACGGGUGAAAGCGGGGGAUCGCAAGACCUCGCGUUAUUGGAGCGGCCGAUAUCAGAUUAGCUUGUUGGUGGGGUGAAAGCCCACCAAGGCGACGAUCUGUAGCUGGUCUGAGAGGACGACCAGCCACACUGGGACUGAGACACGGCCCAGACUCCCACGGGAGGCAGCAGUGGGGAAUUUUGGACAAUGGGCGCAAGCCUGAUCCAGCCAUGCCGCGUGUGGGAAGAAGGCCUUCGGGUUGUAAACCACUUUUGUCAGGGAAGAAACGGCCCGAUCUAAUACAUUGGGCUAAUGACGGUACCUGAAGAAUAAGCACCGGCUAACUACGUGCCAGCAGCCGCGGUAAUACGUAGGGUGCAAGCGUUAAUCGGAAUUACUGGGCGUAAAGCGUGCGCAGGCGGCUUUGCAAGACAGAUGUGAAAUCCCCGGGCUCAACCUGGGAACUGCAUUUGUGACUGCAUGGCUAGAGUACGGUAGAGGGGGAUGGAAUUCCGCGUGUAGCAGUGAAAUGCGUAGAUAUGCGGAGGAACACCGAUGGCGAAGGCAAUCCCCUGGACCUGUACUGACGCUCAUGCACGAAAGCGUGGGGAGCAAACAGGAUUAGAUACCCCGGUAGUCCACGCCCUAAACGAUGUCAACUGGUUGUUGGACGGCUUGCUGUUCAGUAACGAAGCUAACGCGUGAAGUUGACCGCCUGGGGAGUACGGCCGCAAGGUUGAAACUCAAAGGAAUUGACGGGGACCCGCACAAGCGGUGGAUGAUGUGGUUUAAUUCGAUGCAACGCGAAAAACCUUACCUACCCUUGACAUGUCUAGAAGUUUCCAGAGAUGGAUUCGUGCUCGAAAGAGAACUAGAACACAGGUGCUGCAUGGCCGUCGUCAGCUCGUGUCGUGAGAUGUUGGGUUAAGUCCCGCAACGAGCGCAACCCUUAUCAUUAGUUGCUACGCAAGGGCACUCUAAUGAGACUGCCGGUGACAAACCGGAGGAAGGUGGGGAUGACGUCAGGUCAUCAUGGCCCUUAUGGGUAGGGCUACACACGUCAUACAAUGGCCGGUACAGAGGGCUGCCAACCCGCGAGGGGGAGCUAAUCUCAGAAAACCGGUCGUAGUCCGGAUCGCAGUCUGCAACUCGACUGCGUGAAGUCGGGAUCGCUAGUAAUCGCGGAUCAGCUUGCCGCGGUGAAUACGUUCCCGGGUCUUGUACACACCGCCCGUCACACCAUGGGAGCGGGUUCUGCCAGAAGUAGUUAGCCUAACCGCAAGGAGGGCGAUUACCACGGCAGGGUUCGUGACUG